Long non-coding RNA from Canis lupus familiaris (dog), 2424 nucleotides. RefSeq lists it as uncharacterized. The transcript has 3 exons. NCBI's taxonomy places the organism in Eukaryota, Metazoa, Chordata, Mammalia, Carnivora, Canidae. The record is from RefSeq and is a predicted model, not a curated record.
GACAAGAAUGGGUUCUUUAGGAAUCAUUUCAUUUCCUCAUGGAGUUUUGUUGAGAGAGACAAAGAAAAGGAGAGAGAGAGAGAAGAAAAAGAAACAUCUUCCAGUGAGAAAAGAAAUGAUUUUGAGGAUGGACUCACUGGAUCUCUAGACCAGCAUCAGCAUUUUCUCUGGGCAGAAUCUCAGGCCCCGCCCUAGGUCUACUGAAUAUGACUCUGCAGCAUCACAGCAGCCCCAGGACAUUUCUAUGCACAUUGAAGUGAAAGCUAGAGAUUUGGAGCAGAAAGGUACCCAGGACACCAGGAUUCUUCCUCCAGAACAUGAUGAAUGAAGCCAUCAAAGCAACCAAGAUUUCCUUUCAAAACCAUUCAUGAACCUGGGCCCCACUGAGCAUUAUUGCUGAUAUUAUUCAUGCAUCGUUCAUCUCUUACAAUGAACUACAAGUUUCUGAGUGAAAUAUCCAAUACAUGUUAGUUCCUGGGGGGAGAAAUAACUUAGAAAUGCAGCCUGAGGCAGAACACACUGUUCCCACAUUGGCUUCCUCCCUCCUCUCUCCCAACCUCCUACCAAAUAUACACUUUUCUUAUCCUUUUUUUUCCCUCCAAAGUAGAUGAUUAGAGUAAAGAGUAAAAUGAUAGCUUCCCACCCCAUUUCCACAGGACACAUGGCACGGAGGGAGACAGAACUUUGGUCACCAUGAAACAUUAGGCAUUUUCACGAACAAAUCCUAGAGAGAGGAGGGAAGCUAUUUCCCAGCACAGACAUAUAUGAUGCUUUGAGUGGUUCGGUUAGAAAGAUUCAGCUGAUUGCUAAAAUCUGGGUAGGGGUAAUGCUUCAUGCUCUCCAUGGAGGAUGUUUCUUUAAUUGGGCAGUUUAAUUGCCAGCCACUUAGGAAUGCAUGUCAGGCCCUGCCAAUAAUCAAAUAGCCUUUGUCCAAACUAGCUUCCCCUCUGAAAUAGUUACCUCAACCUGUUAAAGCUCCCAGUGUGCUCAAGGAAAUCAAACUUUCCCUUUUUCACUUUCCAAGAAAUUUUUUGAGCAAAGAGCAAGUUGUCCAUACAGAGAAAAUCCAUCUGCCAAUAAUGCCAUGAAAGACUUAAGUAAGCGUCAUGGUUAUAAUGUGCAGAUUUAAUAUCUAAGGCAAUUAUUCCUAUCCACCUCAGAUUCUUAUAUUUAGCCAGCACCAGUCCAGGGAGACAACAGACAUCCCUGGGAGCCCAGCUUAUCUGAUAGGACAACAUAACCUUUAGGUCUGAUAACGGUGCCAAAUAUUGAAUACUUAAAAGCAAAUGUUAUUCUAAUUAACUGCAUUCAGAAAUGACAGCAGUUUCUCCUUCUAAAGCUGGCUUGAAGACUUUCCCUCAAUACUCAAAUCAGUAGCGAAGCAAAAAAGUAACAUGUGAGCAUAAAGCCAGUUUGCACUAGGAAACAGGAAGCAAUUCAUGACCUUCCAAACUGAAUAGGUAUUGUAAUCUAGUGUACUUUGCAGAGCACUAUAAGAGCAUGGUCAACAGGGAACACUCUGCAUAUAAAACCAACUCUCCUGAAGCUGGUAGGGCAGUUUCACAGGAUAGGAUUAUGAGAAAACAGGAAUAGAAAAACAGCCGAUCUAAUUUAUCCACUAUAAAUAAAUUUCUGUUCUUCCUGAAGUGGGUUUUCUAGGAGGACUCAAUGCCAUGGUGAGUUCCCCAUAGUUAUUCUAUUUAUUUUCUCUUUAUUAUUAGAUUUAUCACACAAGCAAUAUAUGUUUGUUGUAGACAAAUACUAAUAGAAAAUACUGAUGAACAAAGAGAAACGCAAUUUAAAUCAUAUAUAUGCACACAAAUCCUACUAUUCUCAAAUGACCGAUGUUAGUAUCUUCAUAUAAACAUGAUUUUUUCUUAUGACAUGACAUAUGUAUGAGUGAUAACUGAGUUUAAUGUGAAACACCUUUGUAAUAUUCUUUUAAAAAUUGAUGUAUUGUGUUUCCUUAUAUUGGGCAUAUGUUUACAUCAACAUUUAACAAUGUUCUAUUACAAAGAUGGCCUAUAAUUUACUUAAUGAUCCUGUUAUCAGAUAUUUGGGUUACCUCUAAUGGGUGUGUAUGGAAAUGUGCCCAAUGCCUGGCACAAAUUUCCCAGAGUUCACACUUUCAAAGAUUUCUGGAAAUCUCCAUGUUAGCACUUCAGAAAGCUAUCCAUUUAUAUGAGCAAUGCUCUCAGUGAGCAUCUUUUGGCAUUGUCUUUCAGAAUGCCUCCAACAUCUGCAGGGUGUGAGUAUUACACUUUUCCACUAUUAGGUACAAAGGCAGUCAGGGAGAAGAGAAAGCACAGUGCUCCAAAAUAUGAAAAGGUAUAACAAAAGUAUCCACUCAAAUCUUGAAAUUUCUAUACAGUUUUCCUUUACUUUAAACAUAUAAGUGAAUUUUUAAUUCUAUGCUCUCAGAUA